This is an RNA transcript of Peromyscus eremicus (cactus mouse), 3981 nucleotides long. It is a transcript of the gene named sperm motility kinase X-like, with no coding region annotated. The record is from RefSeq and is a predicted model, not a curated record. NCBI's taxonomy places the organism in Eukaryota, Metazoa, Chordata, Mammalia, Rodentia, Cricetidae. The transcript is spliced from 6 exons.
GUGCAUAUAACACACUGCCUAGGGCUGGGUUUUGUCCUUCUAGUACAGAGAGCUGUUAGGUGGUGAUCUGUGGGACUUGGAUGUUGGUAAAAGUUUUGGACCUGGAUAUCGGUGAAGUUUUGGACUCGGAUGCUGGUGACUUCUUGUACUUGACAGAUUGGUCUUGGUACGAGCAUUUAUAUCGACAAAGAUGAGGAAGUGGGAAAUGGCUCAAGGCAACACCCUACAGUACAACUCCUUUGACGAAGAGGCUUUAACAGAGCACUAUCAAAUCCUAAAGACCCUUGGUCGGGGAGCAUUUGGAGAAGUAAAAUUGGCUAGCCAUCUACUCACCCAGACAAAGGUAGCAGUAAAAGUUCUCCCAAAAAGCUCAAAGAACAUCUUCAUCAAAUCAGAAAUUGAAAUAAUGAAAUCUCUAGACCAUCCCAAUAUCAUUAAACUUCUUCACAUAAUCGACACCACAAAAAACACUUACCUGGUUAUGGAACAUGCCAUAGGCGGAGAGCUGAUGGCCAGGAUUGUGGAGUUUGGCUACCUACCUGAGGACGAGUCCCGUAAGGUAUUUAAACAAAUGGUGUGUGCCCUUCAGUAUUGUCACAGGAAAGGGAUUGCUCACAGGGAUCUAAAGCCUGAAAAUAUUUUAGUGGACGGCAAAGGAAAUAUAAAACUCAGUGAUUUUGGGCUGGGCACCAAGCUUCCCAUGGGGCAGAAGCUAGCAUAUUUCUGUGGGACCCUUCCUUAUUGCGCCCCAGAACUCUUUGAAGGUGGAGGCUACGAUGGCCGAGCAAUCGACAUCUGGAGUUUGGGAGUUGUACUCUACUUUAUGUCUACAGGGUGCCUCCCUUUCAAGGGAACUACCUUUGGAAUGCUAAAGGACAAAAUCUUGGCAGGAAAGUACCCCGUUAAUUUCAAGCUGUCGCCAGAGCUUUGGGAUGUUAUUGCUAAGUUGUUAACCGUAAAUCCUGGAGAAAGACCAAGAAUAGGUGACGUUGUGGGCUUUCAAUGGCUGAAGCAUGGCAAUGAAGGUUCUCCCAAUCCCUUUAGAGAGAACAAUGAGGACAGCUACCCAGACCCCACUGUGAUGGUCAUCAUGGGCGUCAUGGGUUAUAAGCAAGGAGAGAUAAUGGAAGCUUUACGGGAGAAGAAGUAUGAUCAAGUGAUGGCCACCUACUUGAUUCUUAGGCAGCAGUCACCCUGGGAAGAUGACAUUAUAAAACAUCUUCGGCCCAAGCAGUCUGCUGGAACCUUGAACCUUACAGGCCUUCCCACAAUACCUAAAGUGACUAUAAAGAGGGGAUCUAGUGUCCCUAUCCUUCCCACUUCUUCCAUUUUGCCCACUCUACCUGAGAGUCCCGAGAAUGACAAAAAGGGGAAAACGAGGUACAGUAUGCCUCCCACCGUGAACUGCCCUGACAAGAAAACAGCCCCAGUUCACAGAAUCUGCCCCCAGCGUGUACAUGAGGCUACUUUCAUGAACAGCGCCUGGGGGGAUUCAGAGAGCACUAUUAACACCUCCGAUGAAAUAUGUACCACAGUGUCUUCAGCACUGGAAACUUAUUCCAGCAAGUUAUCCUGGAAUGUGUCCAAAGCUGGCCCUAACAAAUCAAAGAGCAAGGCGUCCUCACAGGAUGUUUUAUCUCAUCACACCCCAAUGGAGGAAGUUCAGUGCCAAGACGUCAACACACCAGGUGAAAUUAUUGGCUCAUCUCUCCCACAAACCUCACCUCAGGAGGACCUCAGAGGACAGCCCCACAGAGUGGCUACAGCUAGUCGGAGAGGUGAAAGGACCAGGUCAUCUCUCCUACAACCAGCACCUCAGGAGGACCUCAGAGGACAGCCCCACAGUGUGGCUACAGCUGUUUCAAAGAACAACAUGACCUCACAGGAUAGAUCACCCCCAUUCUCCAGCAAGGAGGCCCAGGAUGAGGGUCCGAUUGUACAAGAAAAAGACCUCAGCCCAUCCUCCCCAGAAACAUCCCAGGGACACCUCAGUGGCCGGUGCCAGACUGCACCCAGAGCCCCCUUUAGAAAGCGGAUUUGGAAGAGCCUACGGAGAAGGAUUAUAAAAGGCCUGAGAAGUUUAUGCUGCUGCAUACCAACAGAAAAGAGGGAGCGCCUAGGCUGCAACAAAAUCCUGCCUGUGACCUUAGAGGACCAUGGAGGGAGCCAAGGUAACAGUGCUGUUGGAGGCACUGUGCUCCCCCUAAGCUGAAACCAGAGAAUGGGGAGCAGCAUGCUGAGGAUGCACACGGGCGCUGGAGAGAGCCAGGUAGGUUCAUGAUGGCUGGUGGUGCCACAAUUGUGCCAGUAAAGUGAAGCACUCUGUGGGACCAGAAGUCCUUUAAACAAGGAUCCACGGAGUGCUGUGAUCAUUAGGAAAACAGGCCUCAGAGGACCUUCCAUGCACAGUGUGAUCGUCAUUCCAGCUACCUGUCUCCAGGUGUACCUGUGAGCCAUUAGAAGAGACAUCGGCACCAGAAGCAGAGGAGGACCCCAGAGGGCCUGCCCAGUUUGUAUGUGUUCACGAUGAAUAUUGCUGACCAGGUUGGAGCCAGACACAGAGGGACGAGUUUGCAGGGAGUGUCCAUCUUGUGCUCAUUUGGGAAGGUAGAGUGUGUGAGAACAGGUGAGUCCAUUAGUUAUGGUGCAGCUCUCAGCACCAUCCUGAACUACUAGACAGCUUGCUUCCCGUCCCCACCAGAUCCAGACACCUUCACAACUCACCCUAGCACUUACUGGUGAACUCCUUGUUGCUUUGCAACCUGAGUCAUAUGGAUGCACUCUUCUGUACUCUGUAUCUGAACAGACAGGGACACACACACACACACACACACACACACACACACACACACUCACACACAUACUUCUCCCAACGUACCUCAUGCACAGUUGACACUAGUGAAGUUUGCUUGAACUGGAGAGGACUCCUAUUCAAGCAAGAUAAUUUCAUAUUUCAUGUGAUUUCCCUCCUGGAAAUGCCUCAAAUCCCUCUAACUCAGCUUGUUCCUGUCUCUACCCCCAACACAAUCACUUACCACCCUGCUCUACUGCUUCGCAGGAGUCAUAUGAAGCCAACACAUGCCAUGGUGCACAUUUUGCCCCAGGGCAUCCGGUCCUGUGCAAGGUAAGGCCCACCAGCUGUGCUUUGAGUGGAAGCAAGGUGAAGUCUGGAGUGUUUGACAGUUGGAUUCAGAGAUGGAGCUGGUUCCAAGCGUGAUCGUGGAUAGAAUCUGUUGAUGGAAAAACAAUGGCAACCCCCGGCCUGACAGUGCGGGUGUUCCUCUGGGUGGCUCAUGGUCUCCUGCCAUAUUUCCACCUCCUAAGAUAUCUCAGAGACACCUAAAGAGAUUUAAGGGGUCAGAUUCACACCCCUCCUUAGGCCCACACUCUAGUACACCCCAAGACCACACUUUAGUACACCCCAAGACCACACUCUACUACACCCCAAGAUACUACUUUCAACAGUAUCUCACACAAAGAUCCCAGCCGUUUUCUUUCUGACAUCCUGUAGGGACAUUACCGUUGCUGAGGCUUUGUGUCCCCAGGCAGCAGGCUGGGAAAGUCCUUUGCUGCCUGUAUGACCCUAUGCUGGGGCUACCAAAGAGACUCCUGGGACUACACUCAGCAAGGGACAUUUUCAACUGGAUGGUGCUUAGAGCAGGAGAUGCCACUAAAGCCCUAACACACUGGAUGGAAGAGGGACACACAGGUCUCCUUGAUAAAAGAGGCUUCUUCUGAUUGACAGAGAAGUUGGGCCAGAGACUCACAAGCAGAUGGACUAAAGAGGAACAAGGGAAAAUGUCUACUGAUCCAGGUGAAGAUCAGCCAUGGAGGAUAUGCUCAGAGAGCUGGGCAUAAGAUUGCUCUGCAGAAGUGUUACCAAGAAAGACAGGCACCAGACAAAAAGAUAUACGGCACAAAUAGCUGAAUAAAGAGACUGUUUUCUUGCUACAAUAAAUUCCUUUGUAUAUUUGAACCACA